RNAcentral lists this small nuclear RNA (18 nucleotides) under Arabidopsis thaliana (thale cress). RNAcentral describes it as "snRNA_17922". The record is from RNAcentral. Lineage: Eukaryota; Viridiplantae; Streptophyta; Magnoliopsida; Brassicales; Brassicaceae.
AGAGACUGGUCUGAAGAA